Hordeum vulgare subsp. vulgare (domesticated barley) is the source of this 162-nucleotide long non-coding RNA. RefSeq lists it as uncharacterized. The transcript has 3 exons. NCBI's taxonomy places the organism in Eukaryota, Viridiplantae, Streptophyta, Magnoliopsida, Poales, Poaceae. The record is from RefSeq and is a predicted model, not a curated record.
CAAAUUUAUCCUCAGGGCGAGAAAACACUCAAACACGAAGGGUGACAAGGGGCUCUGUAUCAUCAUCAAGGGAUAAUACCAUCAUUGCAUACAAGAAUCAGCAGAGUAGACAACCAACAUCAGAAAAUGACGUGACAAAUAUUGUACAACAAAGUAACAGUA